AUCUACUCUAUAUAGAUGCCUCCCCCAGUGCCUUAGCCAAAGUACCUCCCAAGUUGUGGUCAACAGGCCCAGAGAACAUUGGACGCCACCAUGUCCCUCCGGUCCUAGUGAAGCUUAUCCCAGCGGCCAGUCUGCCCCGUAAACCACAAUACCCACUGAAGCCUGCCAAUGUUGUGUCCAAUGUUGCCCUGGUCCCCUGUGUGUCUCCCUGUAACACUUCCCUGUUCCCCGUAAAAAAGAAAACUGCAAAGGGGAGCCCGGGAAAUACAGGAUGGUUCAGGACCUCAGUGCUGUUAACGAAGCUACCAUUCUAGGCACUCCCAUUGUGCCUAACCCUCUCACACUCCUGUCAGGGGUCCCACCUACCUCAAGGUACUUCACAGUGGUGGAUCUAGCUAAUGCAUUCUUCAGUGUAUCCCUGGAUCCCUCAUGCCAAUAUCUCUUUGCCUUCACCCAUGAACGCCAGCAGUAUACCUGGACUGUCAUGCCUCAAGGUGCACAAAAUUCUCCCAGCCAGUUUGCAAGAGCUAUGGUUUGAUUCUGGACUCAUGGCAAAAGGCUCACACCAAUGUGGUCCUGCUUCAAUACGUAGAUGACCUCCUUCUAUGUGCUCCCCACUGCUUAGCGUACGUCUAAAGACCUCCUAUGCUUUCUCGCAGAUCAAGGAUGUAAAGCCUCCAAGCAAAAACUACAGUGGUGCCUUCCCUCUGUGGUUUUCCUAGGCCACUGCCUCUCACAUGGUGCCCGCCACCUUACCCGUGACCGGGUAAAAGCAAUCAAGGUUAUUGCUCCCCCUACAGGCCAAAAACCCCUCCAUGCUUUCCUGGGCCUGAUCUCCUACUGCAAGGCCUGGAUCCCGGAGGCCUCCCUCCUAAUGCAACCCCUUUAUGACUCCCUUAAGUCCGAACCCUUUUCCCUACCCCCUGAGGCACUAUCCAGCUUCUAUGCCCUACAACGUGUCAUCUCCUCUUCCCCUGGCCCUGGGCCUCCCAGACUACCAGAAACCCUUCAAGUUGUUCGUGUCAGAGAGACAGGGACACGCCACAGGGGUCCUCACUCAGUCCCACGGUUCACGCCAGCGCCCCAUUGGCUUUUACUCUUGCCAACUAGAUCCUGUGGCGAAAGGUGGCCCCUCCUGCCUUAGAGCAGUAUUUGCAGCACACACCCUCAUUGAUAAAACCAAUUCACUUGUCAUCCUUGCUCCCCAUGACGUUGCUGCCAUCCUUAACCAAGUCCAACCCAAACAUCUCUCUGCUGCACGCCACCUCCGCUUACAGUGCUCUCUACUGCUCCCUGACAACGUGUCCCUACAGAGGUGUUACUCCCUUAACCCGUCCACUCUUCUGCCACUUCCUAAGGGGGAAUCUAGACACUAUUGGUAUAGCCUAGACCUAGACCCAGGUUCACACAUUUUUCCAGAUCUUCUGACCUGAGUCAUGCCCCCUGUCACACAUGUCGUUCAGACUUCCCCCCACUGCACCCUAUGGUACAAACUCACCUCAGGACCCGACCCCCACUAUGAGGAAGACUUGAUGCAGUUGGUGGAAGUAACACUCACCGUAACAGAAC
Non-coding RNA from Pelobates cultripes (western spadefoot toad), 1569 nucleotides. NCBI's taxonomy places the organism in Eukaryota, Metazoa, Chordata, Amphibia, Anura, Pelobatidae. The record is from the annotation of a GenBank genome assembly.